GGGGGUGUCACGGUUUCGACGGGGGUUCUGAACGUGAGGAUCGCGUGCCGGGGCUGCUCACAUAGCCACGCCAAAAUAUGUGGGAAUCACAGCUGCCAACGAUGGCAACUACGGCCGUAUGGCCAUCGCCGCCUAACCCGCGGUGACAUCUCUGCCCAAGGCGCUUCAGUAGGGACAGGGGUGUAAUCACAGGAGCUAGCAGGUGCGCAUGCCUCGGGCGCAUCGGCGAGAACUUAGAGGAUCGGUUGAGGGAAGGCCUGUCGAUGGGCAUACCCAGGACCUAAACCUCCCGUGAGGGGGGACAAAUUCAUCGGCUACGCACGUAGUGGUCCCACCUGAUGGCUUUCGGACCCGGGUUCAACUCCCGGCGCCUCCAUCC
This 379-nucleotide transfer-messenger RNA is filed under the name Myxococcales bacterium. It matches the Rfam family "transfer-messenger RNA". Rfam says of the family: Bacterial tmRNA, also known as 10Sa RNA or SsrA, is named for its dual tRNA and mRNA-like properties. Its role is to liberate the mRNA from a stalled ribosome. To accomplish this part of the tmRNA is used as a reading frame that ends in a translation stop signal. The record is from RNAcentral. Lineage: Bacteria; Pseudomonadati; Myxococcota; Myxococcia; Myxococcales.